RNAcentral lists this long non-coding RNA (779 nucleotides) under Marmota monax (woodchuck). Lineage: Eukaryota; Metazoa; Chordata; Mammalia; Rodentia; Sciuridae. The record is from RNAcentral.
CAUGCGUGCGGCCCGGGUUCGAUCCUCAGCACCACAUACAAAGAUGUUGUGUCCGCCAAUAACUAAAAAAUGAAUAUUAAAAAAAUUCUCUCUCUCUCUUUAAAAAAAAAAAUACACUUUUAAAGUGCCACGUGCUGCAAGGAAAAAUACAAAAGACUGGAGAACACCAGCUGCAGCAAGCACAGGUAGAAGAGACAAGGCAAGCUGCCUCCCACCCUAGGAUCCUGCUGGGGUGGGAAAAUACAAACAAGUCAAAUGGAAUGCUACUAGCUGGGGAAACUCAGGGAGCCUUUGCCUCCAACAAGGAGCAGCCAGCUCCCUGCUGUUUCCAUCACCAUGGUAACCACUGGAAGCCACUCAGGUCCACUCAGGCUUCCUGGUCCUGCCUCCUGCACAUUCAUGGGCUUCCUAUUGGUCCUUUCACUGUCACUCAGACAGGACUUCUGGUCCCGCCUUCCAGCAACUAACCUAUACUUCCUGUUGUAUCCCUGCUACCAUCAGCUGAACAAAGCUGCCUUUUUAAGAAUGUCCACCUGUACAUGCCCUUCAAUAGACGAAUGGAUAAAAAAAUGUGGCAUUUAUACACAAUGGAGUAUUACUCUGCAUUAAAAAAUGACAAAAUCAUAGAAUUUGCAGGGUAAUGGAUGGCAUUAGAGCAGAUUAUGCUAAGUGAAGCUAGCCAAUCCCUAAAAAACAAAUGCCAAAUGUCUUCUUUGAUAUAAGGAGAGUAACUAAGAACAGAGUAGGGACGAAGAGCAUGAGAAGAAGAUUAAUAUUUA